UACGGAGGAUCCGAGCGUUAUCCGGAUUUAUUGGGUUUAAAGGGUGCGCAGGCGGGAGAUUAAGUCGGCGGUGAAAUUUUGCAGCUCAACUGUAAAAGUGCCUUCGAAACUGGUUUCCUUGAGUGUAGAUGAAGUAGGCGGAAUUUGUGGUGUAGCGGUGAAAUGCUUAGAUAUCACGAGGAACUCCGAUUGCGCAGGCAGCUUACUAAACCACUACUGACGCUCAGGCACGAAGGCGUGGGGAUCAAACAGGAUUAGAUACCCGCGUAGUCCCU
Molecule: ribosomal RNA, 275 nt
Filed under: uncultured prokaryote
Description: partial 16S ribosomal RNA
Rfam family: Bacterial small subunit ribosomal RNA
Source: RNAcentral